Molecule: small nucleolar RNA, 104 nt
Organism: Cynocephalus volans (Philippine flying lemur)
Lineage: Eukaryota; Metazoa; Chordata; Mammalia; Dermoptera; Cynocephalidae
Product: small nucleolar RNA U13
Exons: 1
Source: RefSeq, a predicted model, not a curated record
AUUCUUCUUUGGUUCAUAAGUGUCAUGAUUGGGUUUGCAUGCUGUUGUGUGAGAUGUGCCUCCCUCUAAACUUGUUACGACACGGGCACAUUACCCAUCUGAUG